UACGAAGGGGGCUAGCGUUGCUCGGAAUUACUGGGCGUAAAGGGAGCGUAGGCGGACAUUUAAGUCAGGGGUGAAAUCCCGGGGCUCAACCUCGGAAUUGCCUUUGAUACUGGGUGUCUUGAGUAUGAGAGAGGUAUGUGGAACUCCGAGUGUAGAGGUGAAAUUCGUAGAUAUUCGGAAGAACACCAGUGGCGAAGGCGACAUACUGGCUCAUUACUGACGCUGAGGUGCGAAAGCGUGGGGAGCAAACAGG
This 253-nucleotide ribosomal RNA is filed under the name uncultured bacterium. RNAcentral describes it as "partial 16S ribosomal RNA". It matches the Rfam family "Bacterial small subunit ribosomal RNA", at positions 524 to 776 of the family's 1533-position model. The record is from RNAcentral.